ACUGUUAGCAGCAUAGGAUUGAGGAGUUUAGAACAGCUGGUCACUAUGCCGACCGGGUUUCUGAGUUAAGUUCAGCAUCAAAACUGUGACCUCCUGGGAGUGGAGAGGCCACCAGGUUGCCUAAGGAUGGGUGAACUGGCCCAGGUCAGAAAUGAAGCAGGUCAGAACUCCCCUGCCAUACGGUAGUGGGACUGAGCCUGGGCAACAUAGCGAGACUUUGGUUCUAA
This 227-nucleotide small RNA is filed under the name Nomascus leucogenys (northern white-cheeked gibbon). Its description in RNAcentral is "Metazoan signal recognition particle RNA (ENSNLEG00000022042.2)". The stretch from base 47 to 204 matches the Rfam family "Metazoan signal recognition particle RNA", at positions 96 to 252 of the family's 299-position model. From Rfam's summary of the family: The signal recognition particle (SRP) is a universally conserved ribonucleoprotein. It is involved in the co-translational targeting of proteins to membranes. Lineage: Eukaryota; Metazoa; Chordata; Mammalia; Primates; Hylobatidae. The record is from RNAcentral.